UGAUCCCAGGAGCAACAGCAACAGGAAGUCACGUGUUUGGACAAUAUCCACCCCAUCCUUCCCCGCCAAACCAGUGAACCGAAAGGGUGGAGCCCAGCUCGACUUUCUGUCACAAAGUUCACUUUCCAGAGCUGAUCCCCAACAGCCAGAGUGCACAUGUCUCAUCACACGCCUGCCAACUUCUUUUGCUAAAUGAGAAAACAACAUGUACAAGAAAAUACAUCUUCUUCAGUGUAACUCACUUGGAAUUCUGGUGACUUGGGCUCGCAAAAGCUGCUGAUCAAGGACUGAAGCAGCUGAGGCCACAGAGGGAGACUCGCACUCGCCUGGGAAGGCGAAGCAGUCACGCCAUCACCUGUGAGCAUGCGCGAGCCAGUGCGAGCCUGAGGAAAUGAGUCAGAAGAAAACAAGGCCCUCAAAGUGAUAACGAGAGUGCUGAUUGUUCUAAAUUAUGGGACAAAAAGAGGUUCCCUCCAUUCCCACCCCUGCAUCAUACCAUUGAACCCCUAUGUAAUCUUAUAUAACGCAGUAAAAUGUGUUCAUUUGUGUGUGGCUCCUUA
Molecule: long non-coding RNA, 560 nt
Filed under: Mus musculus (house mouse)
Lineage: Eukaryota; Metazoa; Chordata; Mammalia; Rodentia; Muridae
Description: predicted gene, 49735
Source: RNAcentral